This 531-nucleotide ribosomal RNA is filed under the name uncultured bacterium. RNAcentral describes it as "bacterial SSU rRNA". It matches the Rfam family "Bacterial small subunit ribosomal RNA", at positions 349 to 874 of the family's 1533-position model. The record is from RNAcentral.
CAGCAGUGGGGAAUUUUGGACAAUGGGCGCAAGCCUGAUCCAGCAAUGCCGCGUGCAGGAAGAAGGCCUUCGGGUUGUAAACUGCUUUUGUACGGAACGAAACGGUCCUGGUUAAUACCUGGGGYUAAUGACGGUACCGUAAGAAUAAGCACCGGCUAACUACGUGCCAGCAGCCGCGGUAAUACGUAGGGUGCGAGCGUUAAUCGGAAUUACUGGGCGUAAAGCGUGCGCAGGCGGUGCUGUAAGACAGGCGUGAAAUCCCCGGGCUCAACCUGGGAAUUGCGCUUGUGACUGCAGUGCUGGAGUACGGCAGAGGGGGAUGGAAUUCCGCGUGUAGCAGUGAAAUGCGUAGAUAUGCGGAGGAACACCGAUGGCGAAGGCAGUCCCCUGGGCCUGUACUGACGCUCAUGCACGAAAGCGUGGGGAGCAAACAGGAUUAGAUACCCUGGUAGUCCACGCCCUAAACGAUGUCAACUGGUUGUUGGGAAUUUACUUUCUCAGUAACGAAGCUAACGCGUGAAGUGACCGCCU